GCCUGAGUGGCUUAGUAGGUUAAGCACCUGAUUCUUGGUGUCAGCUCAGGUCAUAAUCUCACGGUUUGUGGGUUCGAGCCCCACGUAGGGUU
RNAcentral lists this transfer RNA (92 nucleotides) under Felis catus (domestic cat). It matches the Rfam family "tRNA". Rfam says of the family: Transfer RNA (tRNA) molecules are approximately 80 nucleotides in length. Their secondary structure includes four short double-helical elements and three loops (D, anti-codon, and T loops). The record is from Rfam by way of RNAcentral. Lineage: Eukaryota; Metazoa; Chordata; Mammalia; Carnivora; Felidae.